This is a long non-coding RNA of Lycium ferocissimum, 785 nucleotides long. RefSeq lists it as uncharacterized. Lineage: Eukaryota; Viridiplantae; Streptophyta; Magnoliopsida; Solanales; Solanaceae. The record is from RefSeq and is a predicted model, not a curated record. The transcript is spliced from 2 exons.
CAAGUCAAAUCCUCAGUGAAGAGAAGGCUACCAAUAAAAGGAAGAGAAGAAGGUGAGACUAAAUUGUUCGAAGCCCAGAAAGUAACAGGCUUUGAUUUUCCGAAAUGCUUUCCAUUCUUUAUCUAGGUUGCUUGGAGUAUGGGGAAUCAUUUGCUUCAUAUUUUCUCCAACUGAUGACAUAUCUAGCGUUUUUCUAAGCCAAAUCUGCAACUCUCAAUUAACCAGCUUUAGAUGAGCCAAAGCAAAAAAGAAAAAAAGCAGAAAGGAGGAGGAUCUGGUUUUCUUGAUCCAGUUCGAUUAUCAGAUGCCCUUGUAAAAUUCUUUGGUAUUGGUGAAAAUGCAUUGCCUCGAGCUGAUGUCAUCCAGAGAAUAUGGCAAUAUAUAAAAGAAAAUGAGCUUCAGAUGGCAUGAAUUAAAAGGGUAUUGAGCGUUACUGGACAAAAAUUACUGGAGCAAAUCCCAUGCCACAGAAGUUACCCAGUGGUUGUAUUGUUAGGCAUUUGACUGUGUGCUUUUUUCUUUCCAGGAUCCAUCUGAUAAGAAGACAAUCAUCUGUGAUGGAAGAUUAAAAAAACUAUUUCAAGUUGAUUCCUUCCAUGGCUUCAUAGUUACAAAGCUCUUGACUGCUUAUUUUAUCAAAAAAUAAGACAGAUUUUGUAGCUUGCUUGCAUUUGGCAAUGAGGGUAAUUUGUCUUCGAUGGUCAUGCAUAUAUGUUGAUUAUGUUCCAUAAAUAUUGUUAUCUUUGUCCUUUGAAAGUAUUAAUAGUCAUGCGAAAUUUCUUUUC